UACGUAGGGGGCAAGCGUUGUCCGGAUUUAUUGGGCGUAAAGAGCGUGUAGGCGGCCAGGUAGGUCCGCUGUGAAAACUCGAGGCUCAACCUCGAGAUGUCGGCGGAAACCAUCUGGCUAGAGUCCGGAAGAGGAGAGUGGAAUUCCUGGUGUAGCGGUGAAAUGCGCAGAUAUCAGGAAGAACACCCGUGGCGAAGGCGGCUCUCUGGGACGGUACCGACGCUGAGACGCGAAAGCGUGGGGAGCGAACAGG
This 253-nucleotide ribosomal RNA is filed under the name uncultured bacterium. Its description in RNAcentral is "partial 16S ribosomal RNA". It matches the Rfam family "Bacterial small subunit ribosomal RNA", at positions 524 to 776 of the family's 1533-position model. The record is from RNAcentral.